RNAcentral lists this non-coding RNA (29 nucleotides) under Bombyx mori (domestic silkworm). The record is from RNAcentral. Lineage: Eukaryota; Metazoa; Arthropoda; Insecta; Lepidoptera; Bombycidae.
UUUAAAUCGCCUGCCAGGAUGACGGAGUC